CGGCGGGCAGCUUUCUGACGCCGCUCAGCCAAUCCGAGGGGGCGGCAGAGACGGAGGCGCCGUCGCCCAUCGGGCAGCGCCGCCCAGACGCGAGGCGGUGCCGCCGGUGGUUCGCCCAGCUGGGGAGCGGGGAGGGGCAAGAGUACAUAUUCUGAAGCAUUUCUACCUUGAGGAUGAGUUCUGAGGGAAAAGGCUGUGUGUGUGCCUAGCACAACACCUGUGCAAGUCUCUUAAUAAAGAUUUCCAACUGCUGCUCUCUCCAAAGCAGAAAUAACCUGCUCUAAUUUGCGCUCCACGACUGCAAGAUCUGCUUCUGAAAGGAUCGCCUUGAAAAAGUGAUAUUUUUUCCCUAAGUUGCACCCUACAACAAUAAUUACCGCUCAGCAGAGUUGCCCUUCCAUGCUAAUAGCUUGUCUUGCCUCCUGUGACACUGCCAUUGUUCUGCAGUGACACAGAACAAAGCGAAAAUGAAGGAAGUGGGGACGAGGAGUUGGAGGAAACAAAAAGGCGGUGUGCUGGAAGCUGCAAUGGAAGUGCAGAAAGCAUCGAGCCUUCCCACACACAGCUCGUUUGUGGAGUUUUGUUAAGUGCUGGAAAGUCAUAGUGCUGUUACCUGCACAGAAAUGUGUAAUUUCCUUUAGUGAGGGGGAGGAAAGGUGCCGGGUUUUGUUUGGAUUAAGUAAGUGUACUGUAAAUAGGAAAGCUGCUUGAUCCCCGAAGGCACAGAAUUGUGGCUUAUUGCAGCCGUCGUAUUCUCUAAAAUAAUUUAUUUUUUCUCUGAAUGGCAUAAGGAAAUACUUUCCUUGAAAUAUUCGUAUUUAACUGAAAUUUUAAAAUACUCUGUGUCCAUUUAUAUGCAGCUACAGAGGUUUAUAAAUCCUGGUAUAAAACUGUAUCUGUUUUCGUUUAUCUUUUGGGAAAAUGAAAAGCAAUCAUUUAUCCAAACCUGAACAUUGCACUUGAAGCCACGAUAUUGCAGGUUAUCUAAGCAAGCGUUUCACCCUCAACCCAAAAGUCAAUCCCAAAUUCCACUCUAAUGCGUAUGUUGCUCAGAUAGUGAAAGCUGAGAUUAGAAGAUUUGCUAUUGAUGCUUCAAAGUACAUUUUGGGACCCAGUGCCCCAUAUUGAACUUUAACAGAUGAUGCAUAAAUUGACUAAAGCCAGGAAGGCUCCCAGAGGAAGAUUGAAAAAUACAUUCCAAUCUAUCCUCGUAUAUUUUAUAAAAUGUUGGAAACAACCUGCUUUGUCAAAGCCUUCUGAAAUGCUACGGAUGAAAAAAUAUCACAUCCCCAACUUUUUGCAUCUGUCAGAUGGCUGGGAAGACUUCUUUAUGAUUCAUUUCUUUCAGUGAAUUAGUAGGACUAAUUACUAUGUUUUCUGUUUAAAAGUGGCUGGUUUUUCCUUGUUUGAAGAGAAGCCAUGUAAAAUUUUUUUUGUAGCAGUAUUUUGCAGCAUUUAAACCUGAAAUAAAAAUGUUUGUUUUACCUUAAGGAAACAACAACAAUUAGUCACAAUGAGUCUGAAAACAUAAUUACUGGUUGUAAAUUAAAAUUUUUUUUUUUUUUUUUUUCCCUUGGUGAGCAAGAUCAACUUAGCAAUUUCAUAUUUUACUUGCAAUUAGACACAAAUGAAAACUUGAACACCAAGCCUGUGACUGUUCAUUAAAAUCAUUUAAUGAACCCUGUGGUCUGCAUAGUUAAAAAUAAGAAAUUGCCUUCCAGGAUGGUUAAGUUGUCCCAUACCUUUUUCCUUAACUUUGACAGAUUCAAUGUAAGGCUGGAGGCAUGCUUACUCUGAAAGGCACAGUGUUCUCUAAUGAGCUGUUACAAUCACACAACUUAAGCUAAUGAAUUUCUUAUCCUCUUAUGUGGAUAAAAGUUUCUGGUAGAAGUCAAAAGAUCUCAGCUUUUUAAGUGGAUUUGUGCUUUGCAUCUGGGGAGGGAGGGAAGGAAAGGGUACUGCAAAGACUGAAAUUCAUUGUGAUUCUUAACAAGAAGCACCAUGUGGCAAUAGCUUCCUCAAUGAAACCAUUACCAUUAAGAAUCCUUGUGUGCUCAGUUUGAAGUGUGGAACACUCCAAAGCAGAGCAACAGAUCCAUGGGCACACGUGGGAAAAGGAGCUCAUGCUUAAACGAGUCCAUCGGGUCUAUUCAGGAGAGAGGAUUCUCUUCCCACUGACAUCUGUGAAUGACUCCAUGUGUGGACAGGGAAGCUCACUGCUGUGCAGAGGACCCACGCCCCACUUACACACAACAAAGCAGGUCAGAGAAAUUAACGCUGAGAACACUCUCUCUUACUUUGUUGUUGGAGCAAGAAAAAAGAAGACUUUUUCCCUUGAAACGGAUGAGCAAGAACUGUAGAGGUGCUAACUUUUUGCUGUUUCUGCCUUGGGAAACACGGAAUGAUUCCCAGACUGAUCCACAGAUGACAGAUCAUGGGCUGUGCUGGAAAUCUCAAGAGAGCAGCAUUUCCUGGAGAGUGGAAGGAAUAUCUGUCUUCAGAACAGCCAUCUGCAAAGUGUCAUGCUGGUUUUGAGUCUGACAGUGCAAAAGGCUCACCGAGAUACCAGGUGCAGAAAUGUAGCCUAUUUCUUAAAAGGUUAUUGGAAUAAAGUGAGCUGAGUUCUUGUGGCAGCAGGAAUAAAGCAUGUGGUAUUUACUGCCCGUUAUUGCUCUGCACUGCACUGAAUUCCUCCCACAUGACUUACAUGUUGGAAAUGGGAUGUCCUUGUACCUUUAUCUAGGUGAGUCAACGUGCAUUUUUAUACUCACGGUAUUUUUUAGAAGAACUUCAAAACUUUAUUAUCAGUGCUUGGCUCGUUCUCACUCUAUUUUUCAAGUUAGUUAAAAUAGCCUACAUAAAAUAGUAGAGUAUGGAAAAACAAGGGGAGGCCAAAAUGUCUACCAGGUGAGCAACUUUGAUUCAGUAAGUUGCAUGCUUCAGUGGAUCCAGUCACUACUUAAAAUGGGUUGCCUGUCUUCACGUGGGAACAGCCUCAUGUUUUAGUCAGAGAUGCUUGUGUGCCUUUGGUUUCAUUUUGAUGCCUCUUUAUGCUUCAGGCUCAUGACCACAUCAUUUCCACAUUCCAAGCUUGACAUAAAGACUACCAUUCACAGAAAGAGGCAUGUUUUCAUGAGAAACUCAUUGUGUAAUGUAGCCUUGUAAAAAGUGUCAAUAGCACAUUUACAGCACAGCAGAGCCGCUUAAAGCUGAGUGUCUUAACACUCAUUUAUGGAAGAUGGCUGUAAACGUGAGCAUGGGCAAGGUUUAGAUGUCUUCUUUGCAAAGGUAAGCAAUAGCAUUAGGCAGUGUCUGCAGCUGCAGCUCCCUGUGCAAGGACUAGGAGCUGGAAAUACUGCUGUCUCUAUAAAAUAAAGGAAUCCAGACAAACCUGCAAAUUAAGAAUUUUGUAGAGGCUUGGGAAUUAUCUUUGUCCACAACGAAUGGGCAAAAGCUUACUGUAUCCUCUAAUCCCAACUUAUAAUUAACAUUUGAUUUCCAAAAGCGUGGCAAUCUUGUGUUCUUUUCAGUAACAGCAUGUGUUCUAUAUUCAUAGGAAAUCAAAGUUGUACGCUGUUUACAUUUCAGCAGCAUGCUUCAGAAAAUGAAUUUAGCCAUUCAAGGCUUGGGUGCUUUUAAAUAAUAUUAAUAAAAUGAGAAAGUCAUGGGAUGGAGGACCAAAUGGAGAUACAUUGUCACCUGCUGUAAUUACUUUCUUAAUAUGCCAUCUGUUGCCUUAGGUUCUAGGGUCAGGAAGUGAAAUAAGCAGUGGUCUAAAAUAAUGCUGCUUAAGCUGUUUGUGAGUAAUAAUAUAAUGGCACUCUUGGCCCUUGCCUGUACCUGUUUCCCAGAGUGAGACCCGCUCUCCCCAACUACCUGGGAGCAUCCCAGCCAGCAGCCCUGCAGGACCUGUCCUGUGAUUCUGUGAUUCCUGCUGGGAGGAAUAAGGGCAGGGUCAGUGGUUAUAAGCUCUGACAACUCCGUGCAGCCUUUCAGGCUGACACCAAGAACAUUUUCCCCUUUAAAUAAUCAGCUAUUGGAGAAUUAUCAUGGAAUCGUUCUUUGUUUAAUCCACUCUUGUUGUUGGGUAGCUUGUGUGACUCCAUGCACCAAAGCAAAUGACUGAAAAAUCCAGAACAGGAAACUUUUGAUAUGUAAGCAGCAAACACUUGUGUUCAUCCAGGCCUUCCUUUGCUUGACCAUGCGUGUGUAUAUUCUUAGGGGGAAAAGUACCCUGCUUUCCAGCUAAAGCCUGUUGUAUAUGAAUGUAUGCAAGUAGGAAGCAGAGCAGAGCAAAAUACAUUUGAAUCUAAAAAUGUAUGUGAAAAUACACAUGCAUCCAUUGCAUAUCAAGACUACAUCCCACUGGCUCCCUUUGGCAUAAACAGUGUGUUCCUGAAUUGUCCUUCAGAAGAAAAGCUACUCCUUUAACCAUAUAGAGAAUGCUAGACAAAAUUGGAUUUAUGCAGAGGAAAAACAACUUUUUUGUCAUUUCCAGAUAGGAGUUGUUUACAUAGCAGUUGCAAGACGUGCAAAGCAGAAAAAAAAAUACUCAUCCCUGAAGAUGCAGAGUCACUUAAAGCAAACAAAUUCCUCACAUAACUUAUGACACUGAUGCAAUAUAAAUGUACAGAACAAAUGCUCACACUCAUUAAAGAUGGAGAGGGUGCCUGGAGUGUCAGAGCUAGGAGCUGGGUUCAGUUUACAGUUCUCCUCUUGGUUGGUGUGCUAGCCUGGUCAGUUCAUGUGAACUCUUCACAAGCUGCAUGGAUUUCCCCGGAUCUCACAUUACACAUAGGUGAAAUGCUGUGAAUCCACUGAAGUUUUGCCACUGAGGAAUGAAAAACACAUUUAAUUUGUUAUUGUUAAGUGAAAGAAGGCAGUAUAUGACUGAAAUCCAUGCCUUUGAAAUCGGUGAACUUCUUUCUCUUAAUUGUGGUGAGUCAUGAUUAUAAGUGAAUGUGCACGUGUGUAAAUGUUAUGGGAAAAAAAAAAAAAACCAAAAAACAGAAAGAUGGCUGGAAUCAGACUUACAGUUGUAUUUUAACCUAUUCUAAGUAUGUUGUGAUACAGCUACAACCAGUAGUUUUGACUGUAUUUUUAUCCCCACAAGAAUUGGCUGCCAUGCCUUUGGGGAGUGUUUUUGUGUCAAAAUACCACCAAGCAAAGUGUGUUUGCUGAAACUGCAACACCUUUUGUAUGUAUUAUGGCACAUACUAAAACAAGGGGAGGGGGACUCAGUGACACAUACUGAUUAAUUGGUUAACAGGAGCUUCCUCAUACUCAUUACAGCUAUUCAGCCAUAUCACUUUCUAAAUCUGAAGACACAAUUUUAUCUGAAAGCCCAUAUGGCUUAUCAGGAAACUGUGCGUAUAGAAAAUUACCACAAUCCCGAACCAAGAUAAUAUUUAUCUAAUAGACCAUAACAGCUUGGGAAGAGUCAAUAUGGUCUCUCAUUUGAGCAUGCAUUUUGCUAUGCAUUCUACCUAUACAAACACAAGUCAUUUACAUUGCAAGCUAUCUGCCUGGUAAAUCCAUUUUUAGGUAAUUCUUGUAACAGUGGAUAUUUUUUUAUGAGAGAUUAUAAAGAUCGUUUGAAUGUAUUGUAGCUCAUGUAUUAAUUUGGAGAUGACUGAGUAUUUGCCUGGUGGAUUGUAAUGGACUCUGAUGGAGCUGUUGGCUUUUAUCAGCUAAACCCAUAUUUUGGUAUGUAAGCAAAUUUGAAAGAGCAAAAUAUUUGCCGAACAAUCAGCCAGACUGCUGUGUCUGACUUGCAGCAUCCUGCCUGCUCUGAGUCACCAGGUUGAUAAAGGUGCAGCCUGCCUGCUGCCAGGGCCCAGGUCUGGCACAAGUGAGCCAUUACUGUAAAUUCUGUCUCAUCCCUUCCACUCACAGAAAUCAAGGAGUAUGAAGAGCACCUUGCUGGGGGUUAAUGGCUGAAUUGGAAGUGAAGAGGUAACCCUUUCACCUAAUCCCACAAACCUCUGCAGAGAACGUCCUGUAGUGAAGUCAUGCUUACUCUGAAAGUCCUGGGUGGGUCCUGCCUUUGUGUUCGGAGAUCCUUUGACAUUGUAGUUAAAUAGGUUCUUUUUCUCUCUCCAUUUUUUUAGGUUCUGUUUUCCCUCUACUGGAAAAGUGAAGGAGAAUAAAGAGACGAAUGGCAAGAAGAGUGUCAGCAUUUGAAUGGAAAAGGAAAAUUAGCAGGAAGAUCUUGUCUAGGAUUUAUUUCAGUAUUUUAAUAUUGUUCAAAGUGAAGGAUCAGUCUGUUAUCAAAGAAUAUAGAGGUUUUUGUAAAGCAGACAUUUAAAAGGUAAACUUUUUGACAGCAAAUAUUUUUUAAUGACAAAAUUUUGAGCAACCAUAGCAGAGAAAAAAUCCCUCCUGAGGAAGGACUGCUCAAAAUCACAGAGUGGCCCCUUGGCAUAAUCUCUGAGAGCCUGCACUAAGAGGGAUGAAAGUGUCUGUCCUUUUCACUGAAUGCAGAGGGACCCCACGUGGCUGGUGAAUACUAUGUGCCUGACUCCUACACCAUUCAAGUCACAGGAGUUGAAAACUGCUUUUUCACCAAAUCCUCUCACUGAAGAAAAAUGGAAAAACAGCCAGGCAACAGCAGCCUUUCCAGCAGUUUUCCAUAGGUUAUCGAAGCAAAUUUCACCACAUAUCAAGGUUUAGUCCUUUUAAGGAAAAUGAUUGUGUUUAUGCCAUCUCCCAAGUAUUUCAGUGGCAUUUCCAGAAGAGGCAGGUGGUGUGGAUACUGAGUGCAAUAGGGAGAGACUUACUCUCUUGAAAUCACAUAGAAAGUGUGGACUUUGUGUACCAGAGUUAUGGUAGGUCCUAAAGUAACACUUUAUAAACAGAGUUGUAAUUAUUACAAUCGUGAGACAUUUAUGCAGUCAGCCACAGAAUGCUAAAAUAAAAUUUCUGUUAAACAAUGUUCAAUAAAAUGCAGUUUUCCAUCAGAUCACUUUUCUCGAAGAGUGUCAGUAAAAUGGCCGCUGUCACAGUGCCAAUGAGAUGUAAUGGAAGAUAGAUAGUACUUAACAUCCUUAAAAAUGCAUUUAGAUUUGAUGGUUGAGGGCUUGUCAUCAGCAGACAGAACAGGCAUCGAGAUCCCAAAUCCUUCUUACUAGCUAAAUAAACAAACACAAUCUGCAUUCCAUUGAAACUAUGGAAGAAGUAUGCUAGAUAUGAAGAUAUGAAGAUGGCAGAUUCCCACCACAGAGGCUGCACUAGUCACUGCAGCUUUGCUUAAUUUUGAAGAAAAGGACUGGGGAGGAACCUACAGAAAAUAAAUGGAACUAUUUCUGCCAUUCCAUGUCUUGCAGAGUGAAUGAAGAGUGAAAGUGAGAUUUCCACUCGCUGUCCCCUGCUUAUGUGAUGUACUGUGAGGGUACGUAGGAAGCCUCAAACCUGUUAAUAUAUAUUCUGCAGGGUGGGUAAGUGUGCUAUAUUUAAUUUCCAUUGAAACAGUGCUUCUCUCUGAGGCUUCCUACAUACCUUCAUAUCUCAUCCAUCCACUAUUGACUUUGCUCCUUCCUCACUUCUUGCUGCCAUCACAUCAGUCACAGCUGUGUCCCAGCAGUACUUCUGACCCA
This is a long non-coding RNA of Phasianus colchicus (ring-necked pheasant), 7595 nucleotides long. RefSeq lists it as uncharacterized. The record is from RefSeq and is a predicted model, not a curated record. NCBI's taxonomy places the organism in Eukaryota, Metazoa, Chordata, Aves, Galliformes, Phasianidae.